AACGAACGCUGGCGGCGCGUCUUAAGCAUGCAAGUCGGACGGCAAGGGUAGCAAUACCCCUAGAGUGGCGGACUGGUGAGUAACGCGUGGGUGACCUGCCCUUGAGUUGGGGAUAGCCAUUAGAAAUAGUGGAUAAUACCGAAUACGAUCGCUGUCACUGUGGUGAUGCGAUGAAAGGAGCUACGGCUCCACUCGAGGAUGGGCCCGCGUCCCAUUAGCUAGUUGGUGAGGUAACGGCCCACCAAGGCGACGAUGGGUAUCCGGCCUGAGAGGGUGUACGGACACAUUGGGACUGAGAUACGGCCCAAACUCCUACGGGAGGCAGCAGCUAAGAAUAUUCCGCAAUGGACGAAAGUCUGACGGAGCGACGCCGCGUGGAUGAAGAAGGCCGAAAGGUUGUAAAAUCCUUUUGCUGAUGAAGAAUAAGUGGAGUAGGGAAUGAUUCCAUGAUGACAUUAGUCGGUGAAUAAGCCCCGGCUAACUACGUGCCAGCAGCCGCGGUAACACGUAGGGGGCAAGCGUUGUUCGGAAUUAUUGGGCGUAAAGGGCAUGUAGGCGGUUUUGUAAGCCUGGUGUGAAAUCCUGCAGCUUAACUGUAGAAUUGCAUUGGGUACUGCAAGACUUGAAUCACAGAGGGGAAACUAGAAUUCCAGGUGUAGGGGUGGAAUCUGUAGAUAUCUGGAAGAAUACCGGUGGCGAAGGCGGGUUUCUAGCUGAUGAUUGACGCUGAGGUGCGAAAGUGCGGGGAGCAAACAGGAUUAGAUACCCUGGUAGUCC
This 777-nucleotide ribosomal RNA is filed under the name uncultured bacterium. RNAcentral's name for it is "bacterial SSU rRNA". It matches the Rfam family "Bacterial small subunit ribosomal RNA", at positions 28 to 796 of the family's 1533-position model. The record is from RNAcentral.